This is a long non-coding RNA of Vigna unguiculata (cowpea), 1054 nucleotides long. RefSeq lists it as uncharacterized. NCBI's taxonomy places the organism in Eukaryota, Viridiplantae, Streptophyta, Magnoliopsida, Fabales, Fabaceae. The record is from RefSeq and is a predicted model, not a curated record.
AAUUAUUCCCUCCACUUUGCUAAUUCUUGGUUCCCACUCACUCACUUGGUGUCCAAAUUAAAACCUAUUUUCGUAAGGUUCCCUCUUCUCGACUCCAUCACCACCUGCGAAACCCACUCCGUCUCGACUCCAUCACCACCUGCGAAACCUGCUCCGUCUCCACUCCAUCACCACCUGUGAACCCGCUCUGUCUUCGCGACUCCAUCACCAUCUGUGAAACCCGUUCCGUCUUCUCGACUCCAUCACCACCUGCGAAACCCGCUCCGCCUUCUCGACUUCAUCACCACCUGCGCAACCUCUGCUUCGUCUUUUCUCGACUCCAUCACCACCUGCGAAACCCGCUCCGUCUUCUCGACUCCAUCACCACCUGCGAAACCCUUCACACCGUCCAUCGUUAAUCAGCCAGCGACUUACCACCGUGGUCGUCGUGCUGUCAUCAGUUCUCGUGGUCGUCGCGCGAUUCACCUCUUCGUUGCACGAUUCAGCCUCGUCGUCGCGCAUUCACCUUCGUCGUCGCGCCCUCGUGUGAGUUGUCGUCGUCUUCGAGCUAUAGUGAUUGAAUAGCAGGAUGCUUGAUGAUAUUUUUGACUGAAGUCUUUUGAUUUUCACCUAAUACUCUUGUUUAGGAAGAGAUGGUGAAGGCUAAGUUUGAGGCAGCUGUCAUAGAAGCAGAGUUGAGCGCGCCAAUGGAAGUUAGAACUAAGUUAAAAAUGACUGGUCCAAAUUUUGAGGUGCGUGAAAUGAAGUCAAGCAAAGAACUGCGAAAGAAAGUAAAGAUAAAGCGUGAAAGGAUAAUAAGCAUUGGAGGGGUCACCAAUGGACCUAAGUUUUUGUUGUUUAUAUGUGGAUGUUGGUGAAGAUCAAGAGGAUGAAGAAUGAUAAAAAAAUUCCAAAUGGUAUAUGAAGAUGAAGAGGAAUGAAAGUGCAAGAUAAAUUGUACUUUUUCUUUUUUGGAGAACAUAAUACUUUUUAAUUAGUUGUAAACAUUGUUACUUAUAGAAUUGUAUACAAUAUUACAAUAUAAUUUUGCAAUAUAUGAAAAUUUUCAAUUUCA